RNAcentral lists this ribosomal RNA (518 nucleotides) under uncultured Glomus. RNAcentral's name for it is "SSU rRNA". It matches the Rfam family "Eukaryotic small subunit ribosomal RNA", at positions 569 to 1089 of the family's 1831-position model. Lineage: Eukaryota; Fungi; Glomeromycota; Glomeromycetes; Glomerales; Glomeraceae. The record is from RNAcentral.
AGCAGCCGCGGUAAUUCCAGCUCCAAUAGCGUAUAUUAAAGUUGUUGCAGUUAAAAAGCUCGUAGUUGAAUUUCGGGAUCAGUGGGUCGGUCGUGCCACUGGUAUGCACUGGCCCUACUGGUUCCUCCUUCUUGAAGAACUGUAAUGCCAUUAAUUUGGUGUUGCAGGGAAACAGGACUGUUACUUUGAAAAAAUUAGAGUGUUUAAAGCAGGCAAUCGCUUGAAUACAUUAGCAUGGAAUAAUGAAAUAGGACGAUCGAUCCUAUUUUGUUGGUUUCUAGGAUUGACGUAAUGAUUAAUAGGGAUAGUUGGGGGCAUUAGUAUUCAAUUGUCAGAGGUGAAAUUCUUGGAUUUAUUGAAGACUAACUACUGCGAAAGCAUUUGCCAAGGAUGUUUUCAUUAAUCAAGAACGAAAGUUAGGGGAUCGAAGACGAUCAGAUACCGUCGUAGUCUUAACCAUAAACUAUAGCCGACUAGGGAUCGGGUGAUGUAAUUUUUAAUGACUCAUUCGGCGUCCG